This 497-nucleotide ribosomal RNA is filed under the name uncultured bacterium. RNAcentral describes it as "partial 16S ribosomal RNA". It matches the Rfam family "Bacterial small subunit ribosomal RNA", at positions 28 to 507 of the family's 1533-position model. The record is from RNAcentral.
GAUGAACGCUGGCGGCGUGCCUAAUACAUGCAAGUCGAGCGAACAGACGAGGAGCUUGCUCCUCUGACGUUAGCGGCGGACGGGUGAGUAACACGUGGAUAACCUACCUAUAAGACUGGGAUAAUUUCGGGAAACCGGCGCUAAUACCGGAUAAUAUAUUGAACCGCAUGGUUCAAUAGUGAAAGACGGUUUUGCUGUCUCUAAUAGAUGGAUCCGCGCCGCAUUAGCUAGUUGGUAAGGUAACGGCUUACCAAGGCAACGAUGCGUAGCCGACCUGAGAGGGUGAUCGGCCACACUGGAACUGAGACACGGUCCAGACUCCUGCGGGAGGCAGCAGUAGGGAAUCUUCCGCAAUGGGCGAAAGCCUGACGGAGCAACGCCGAGUGAGUGAUGAAGGUCUUCGGAUCGUAAAACUCUGUUAUUAGGGAAGAACAAAUGUGUAAGUAACUAUGCACGUCUUGACGGUACCUAAUCAGAAAGCCACGGCUAACUACGUG